GAUGAACGCUAGCUACAGGCUUAACACAUGCAAGUCGAGGGGUAACGAGAGGAAAGCUUGCUUUCCUUGUCGACGACCGGCGCACGGGUGAGUAACGCGUAUCCAACCUGCCCCCAACUAAGGAAUAACCUUGCGAAAGUAAGACUAAUACCUUAUAAUUUCCUCAGAUGUCAUCUGACGAGGAAUAAAGAUUUAUCGGUUGUGGAUGGGGAUGCGUCUGAUUAGCUUGUUGGCGGGGUAACGGCCCACCAAGGCAACGAUCAGUAGGGGCUCUGGGGGGAAGGUCCCCCACAUUGGAACGGAGACACAGUCCAAACUCCUACGGGAGGCAGCAGUGAGGAAUAUUGGUCAAUGGGCGGAAGCCUGAACCAGCCAAGUAGCGUGCAGGAUGACGGCCCUAUGGGUUGUAAACUGCUUUUAUACAGGAAUAAAGUUAGCCACGUGUGGUUAUUUGUAGGUACUGUAUGAAUAAGGAUCGGCUAAUUCCGUGCCAGCAGCCGCCGUAA
This 506-nucleotide ribosomal RNA is filed under the name uncultured bacterium. RNAcentral's name for it is "partial 16S ribosomal RNA". It matches the Rfam family "Bacterial small subunit ribosomal RNA", at positions 28 to 523 of the family's 1533-position model. The record is from RNAcentral.